CCUACGGGUGGCAGCAGUGGGGAAUAUUGGACAAUGGGGGGAACCCUGAUCCAGCCAUGCCGCGUGUGUGAAGAAGGCCCUCGGGUUGUAAAGCACUUUCAGUGAGGAAGAACGCCUGGUGGUUAAUACCCAUCAGGAAAGACAUCACUCACAGAAGAAGCACCGGCUAACUCCGUGCCAGCAGCCGCGGUAAUACGGAGGGUGCGAGCGUUAAUCGGAAUUACUGGGCGUAAAGCGCGCGUAGGUGGCUUGAUAAGCCGGUUGUGAAAGCCCCGGGCUCAACCUGGGAACGGCAUCCGGAACUGUCAAGCUAGAGUGCAGGAGAGGAAGGUAGAAUUCCCGGUGUAGCGGUGAAAUGCGUAGAGAUCGGGAGGAAUACCAGUGGCGAAGGCGGCCUUCUGGACUGACACUGACACUGAGGUGCGAAAGCGUGGGUAGCAAACAGGAUGAGAUACCCGGGUAGUC
Molecule: ribosomal RNA, 465 nt
Filed under: Vreelandella stevensii
Lineage: Bacteria; Pseudomonadati; Pseudomonadota; Gammaproteobacteria; Oceanospirillales; Halomonadaceae
Description: partial 16S ribosomal RNA
Rfam family: Bacterial small subunit ribosomal RNA
Source: RNAcentral